GUUGCGGCUCUGGUGUUCACUCGUGGUUCUUGUGUUGCCUACCCGUUUAGUGGUAUUCAUGUGCCUCUUAAGACCCGUUCCAUCAAGACCCCUUGUAGGGGCUGUUGGGGAGUUUGAAAGUGAUGCAUGUUAUGCGUUAGCUGUGCAUUGUAACAGCUUGCGUGCUCACAUGUGUUUGUUGUUCCCUCGGAUGCGGUGCAUGCGGUGAAUGUGGGUUGACAAUGUGCCCCGUUGAGUCCCUUCGAUUUAUUGGUUGCCUUGAAUGACACUCUGUCGUAGUGCUGGUGUUGCUUCACCAUUCGUGGUGGCAACACUUGCAUGUCGAACAGAGUCGUUGAUGGAUGCUACCUGGUUGAUCCUG
RNAcentral lists this unclassified non-coding RNA (361 nucleotides) under Genista hispanica subsp. occidentalis. RNAcentral describes it as "partial contains external transcribed spacer and 18S ribosomal RNA". Lineage: Eukaryota; Viridiplantae; Streptophyta; Magnoliopsida; Fabales; Fabaceae. The record is from RNAcentral.